RNAcentral lists this ribosomal RNA (200 nucleotides) under uncultured bacterium. RNAcentral describes it as "partial 16S ribosomal RNA". It matches the Rfam family "Bacterial small subunit ribosomal RNA", at positions 30 to 230 of the family's 1533-position model. The record is from RNAcentral.
AUUGAACGCUGGCGGCAUGCCUUACACAUGCAAGUCGAACGGCAGCACGGGAGCAAUCCUGGUGGCGAGUGGCGAACGGGUGAGUAAUACAUCGGAACGUGCCCAAUCGUGGGGGAUAACGCAGCGAAAGCUGUGCUAAUACCGCAUACGAUCUACGGAUGAAAGCAGGGGAUCGCAAGACCUUGCGCGAAUGGAGCGGU